RNAcentral lists this unclassified non-coding RNA (432 nucleotides) under soil metagenome. RNAcentral's name for it is "partial contains 5.8S ribosomal RNA, internal transcribed spacer 2, and large subunit ribosomal RNA". The stretch from base 1 to 120 matches the Rfam family "5.8S ribosomal RNA", at positions 35 to 154 of the family's 154-position model. The record is from RNAcentral.
GAUGAAGAACGUAGCGAAAUGCGAUACGUAAUGUGAAUUGCAGAAUUCAGUGAAUCAGCGAAUCUUUGAACGCAUAUUGCGCUCUCUGGUAUUCCGGAGAGCAUGCUGGUUUGAGUAUCAGUAAACACCUCAACUUCCAUAUCUUUUUUGAAAUGGGAGUUGGACUUGAGUGAUCCCAACGCUUUUCCUCACCGAAAAGUGGCGGGUUACUUGAAAUGCAGGUGCAGCUGGACUUUUCUCUGAGCUAUAAGCAUAUCUAUUUAGUCUGCCUAAAAAACAGAUUAUUACCUUUGCUGCAGCUAACAUAAAGGAGAUUAGUUCUUGUGCUGACUGAUGCAGGAUUCACAAAGACGGCUUCGGCCGACUUUGUAAACUCGAUCUCAAAUCAAGUAAGACUACCCGCUGAACUUAAGCAUAUCAAUAAGCGGAGGA